GACGAACGUUGGCGGCGUGCUUAAUACAUGCAAGUCAACUGAAGCAGUGGUAGCAAUAUCGCUGUGGAGGUGGCGCACGGGUGAGUAACACGUAGGUAAUCUGCCUUCAGGUCUGGCAUAACUCCGGGAAACCGGGGCUAAUAGCAGAUGAUGCAGCGGCUCGACAUCGAGACAGUUGUUAAAGCUAUGGCGCCUGAAGAUGAGCCUGCGUCUGAUUAGCUAGUUGGCGGGGUAACGGCCCACCAAGGCAACGAUCAGUAGCUGGUCUGAGAGGAUGAUCAGCCACACUGGAACUGAGACACGGUCCAGACUCCUACGGGAGGCAGCAGUAGGGAAUCUUCCGCAAUGGGCGAAAGCCUGACGGAGCAACGCCGCGUGAGUGAUGAAGGUCUUCGGAUCGUAAAACUCUGUUAUUAGGGAAGAACAAAUGUGUAAGUAACUAUGCACGUCUUGACGGUACCUAAUCAGAAAGCCACGGCUAACUACGUG
RNAcentral lists this ribosomal RNA (489 nucleotides) under uncultured bacterium. Its description in RNAcentral is "partial 16S ribosomal RNA". It matches the Rfam family "Bacterial small subunit ribosomal RNA", at positions 28 to 507 of the family's 1533-position model. The record is from RNAcentral.